This 440-nucleotide ribosomal RNA is filed under the name uncultured bacterium. Its description in RNAcentral is "partial 16S ribosomal RNA". It matches the Rfam family "Bacterial small subunit ribosomal RNA", at positions 338 to 795 of the family's 1533-position model. The record is from RNAcentral.
CCUACGGGAGGCAGCAGUGGGGGAUAUUGCACAAUGGGCGAAACCCUGAUGCAGCGACGCCGCGUGUGGGAAGACGGUCCUCUGGAUUGUAAACCACUGUCCCCAGGGACGAAGAUGACGGUACCUGGGGAGGAAGCUCCGGCUAACUACGUGCCAGCAGCCGCGGUAAUACGUAGGGAGCGAGCGUUGUCCGGAAUUACUGGGUGUAAGGGGAGCGUAGGCGGGACUGCAAGUUGGGUGUAAAAUCUACCGGCUCAACCGGUAGCCGCACUCAAAACUGCAGUUCUUGAGUGAAGUAGAGGCAGGCGGAAUUCCUGGUGUAGCGGUGAAAUGCGUAGAUAUUAGGAGGAACACCAGUGGCGAAGGCGGCCUGCUGGGCUUUUACUGACGCUGAGGCUCGAAAGUGUGGGGAGCAAACAGGAUUAGAUACCCCUGUAGUC